This 3178-nucleotide long non-coding RNA is filed under the name Triticum aestivum (bread wheat). RNAcentral's name for it is "long non-coding RNA (TAES_LNC009605)". The record is from RNAcentral. Lineage: Eukaryota; Viridiplantae; Streptophyta; Magnoliopsida; Poales; Poaceae.
UAGGCAAUCAGGACAUACCACAUUCAUACAUGCACUUCAAUCAAAGUAAGAUAUAGGCCUCAUCGAAAACCUUAAACUUCAUUCGAUAAACAUAACGACCAUAUAUAACAAGGUUGUGCCACAAAAGGAGUACAUAUUAUAUGUUUGCCACACAACCAAACUAAUUAAACUAGUGCCACAAAAGAUGCACAUAUGCUUCUAGAUGUGUGCCACACAACCAAAAUGAGCUUAACAACCACCAAAAUGCAGCAGGGACAAACAAGACACGUGACAUUAUCACUCCAUCAACUUAAUUGUAGGUCUUCCAAAUCUUCAGCAGCUUAAAGAUCUUCCAAACCUUAGUGAACUUGUGCACCUUUGAGAAACCUGCAAUAGACCAGAAAAUGUUACAUACAGCAGCCGCAUAUGUUCUGAAAGAUGUUAUAAGUAGGUAACAUGCGCAAAGUUACUGUACUAGCCAGCGAAUUAAGUUAGCUUGUAUUUGGGCUUGCUUUUCCUUCUAAGCUCUCUGCAUCUACAACACAGAAUAAGAGGGGAACUAGCUGGAGCAUAUAUUUCAGGAUCUUCUAAUGGGGGGCUGUUUAGUUUCCUAGUUCCAUGCUUUUGUUGGACAAGUUAGAAAUGAAGGUCCCCUAAAAUGGUAUCUGAUUAGUGGGCAAGCCCACAUAUUUACAAAUCAACUGAAACACUAAGAACAUUUGGUUCAAUAAUAAACAAUUUUUAUUGGUUCACUUUCCUACAUCACGCACAACAAGUUGAAUUAGCCUAGAAAAUUAAACUUUGUUUGUCUGCAUAAAGCCUUGGUAUUUCAGCUUGUUUGUCUGCAUAAAGCCUUGGUUUAAUUUUCAGCCUACAAAACGUUUUGAACUGCAGAGACAACAGAAUCAACUUUGAAUAUUUUCUAAGUACAAACCAGCAAUAUCUAGAAACUAACAAAAUUGUAACAUCAAAACAAGAAAUCAUAAAAACACUAAAUACAUGCCAAAGCAAAUGAUAUGGCAGCUGACAUGUACGUUCACUAGAAAUAUAAGACGUUUUUGUAAUUUAAUUUGAACUGCAAAAAUGUCUUAUAUUAUGGUACAGAGGUAGCAGUAAGCAGCAAAAUGCAAGGUUAAACAAUUUUUACACAUGGGAUGUUUUUUUCCAAAAUUGCAUGCUAAGCAUAGCAUGUUUAUACUUCUUAAAUUAACAUAGCACUAUAAUUAGAAUCCACAAUUAUAAGUUAGUACAAUUUAUAUCAAAACUUUGACAUCUUUGUAUUGAAGCUUGUUAUUUGCAAAGCUGUCAUAUUAUUAAUCAAAGAACAAGAGCUUGUUAAUUUAAUUUUACUUUGACAUCUUGUACGUGAGCUUGUCAUUUAUACUUUGGUAUCUAGUUAAGCAAAGAACAGCAAACAGCAGCUGACAGAAUACCUAUUCUGUUGUACAAAAUACUAAACAGUGUAAUGCCCGGUCAACCAUUUUUUACACAUGAAAAGGAAGUACUAGACAAUGCGUAGGAAUACAAGAGAAGGCAACACAUAUCCUCCUCAUAAAUGGUUCUAUGGCAGGCAAACCAACGAGUCUGUGUCAAGUACUGCCCAAUAACACAAGACUAAGCUUCAGAAUACACAGAGGAUGCAAAAGCUCAGUUCUGAAUACACAAGGCAUGCUUACUAGAAGAUGCACGCUGAUCACAGGAGAAACAAUCUAAAAAGUUUAUUUCAGUGAAAGCACCCAGUGAAAAUUAGAGAAUAGUUUGUAAGAAUUACAUAUAGGAAAAAAGAGCAAGGUACUGAGCUAGCCUCAUGACCCAUUUCUUCCAUUUUUUUUCUACUUAGGAACAUAGCCACACACACCAGCACUACUACCAAACCUGGACACAGAACCUAAAAAACGAGCAUCCAAAAAGUCCUUUAUCAGCAACAAAUAAAUAGUCUUACUAAAGAGCAAAUUUAUUGCACUUGUAGAUUCCAAAAAAUGUAACUAAACUACAGGAUAAUAGUAGAAUAGAGGUACUAGAAACUUGCACAUUAUACAGUUUUUACAGAAGAAAAUCUACAAUCCUACGGAUCCACAAGCAAAACCGAAACCAUAUCACUAUAGGGUCUACAAAGUACAAUGAUAUUUCCCAUCUGAAACUUUGCCUUUGGCAUUUGACAAAUUGCCAUUAGAGAGUCGUGCAUCUCAACAGAAAGGGGAAAUAAUUGUAAACCCCACAAGCCAAACAUCAUAUCAACCUAAAUUAGAUAUUAAACUAAGUAACCUUUCUUGUCAGGGUUCUCCAAAGUCCAAAUACACACAUGAGAACCGGAAUAGGCAGCAAUUCAUCAGUCGAAACUACCUAUUGUUUGGUCAAUCGCACAAUACCCAUCUAAUUUGCUUGUAUAGCUCUGCUCCAAAGUCCAAACUGAUCUACAUGCUUCCACAGUUUAUAUUUGACAGAUAGUAGCCUUAAAACAUUCCGAUAUCAAUAUUCAUCCUAGCACAGGGUCAGCCAUCAACAGCAAAGGAUGUCACAAUUGCACACCGUGUAGUCCAAAAACAUGCAGAUAUAUUCUGCAGCCGCAACCCUUAAAUCCUAGGAGUUGGCCGAUCGAGGGGAUUACAAAUGCGCAAAAAUUAGAACGAACAUUUGAUUCGGAUUUAUCUCAAGGGGAAACAUACAGAGAGAAGGAAGGGCGGAAGGGGAUGCUCACGGGGAGGUGGGAGGAGGGCUCCCGCUAUAGUGGCCGCUUGAGGUCGACGUUCCGCUACUUGGGGUAGAGAUGCUCACGGGAGAGGAGGCGGACCCCUUGGUGCUUCAGUGAAGAGGAGGCAGCCUGCUCGAGGGAGGAAGCUCUCAGGGUGGUGGUGAGGAAGGCGUUCCGCGGAAGAUGGUCGCCGCCGGUGAAGCGGUUCGGCGACACUAGUGGUGCUCCGUGUCAAUCGGGUGCUCGGCGGUGUCGCUCUGGAGUGGUUGGGGGCAACGACGGCGUGGUUGGGGACGAAGGGCGGUCGGCAGCAGUGUGGUGGUUGGGGUCGGCGGAGGGGCUGCAGUGGUGGUUGGGGCCGACGGAGGGCUGCGGCGGUGGUGGGUGACGGCGGCAGUGGUGAUCUAGGUGGAGGGCGGCCGCCGGCGCUGGGAUAGUUGGGGGCGGUGGCGGCGAUCUGGUGGAGGGUACGGGUGGAUUGGGCGUCGAGAUCUGGGGGAGGCUCUA